AGCCUUUGACAUGUCCCGUAUGGAUCCCAUCUCUGGAACCCAUACGGGACAUGUCAAGGGCUGGUAAGGUUCUGCGCGUUGCUUCGAAUUGAACCACAUGCUCCACCGCUUGUGCGGGCCCCCGUCAAUUCCUUUGAGUUUUAAUCUUGCGACCGUACUCCCCAGGCGGGAUGCUUAAAGCGUUAGCUGCGCCACUGACCGGUAAACCGGCCAACGGCUAGCAUCCAUCGUUUACGGCGUGGACUAC
RNAcentral lists this unclassified non-coding RNA (247 nucleotides) under uncultured Alphaproteobacteria bacterium. Its description in RNAcentral is "contains 16S-23S intergenic spacer region". Lineage: Bacteria; Pseudomonadati; Pseudomonadota; Alphaproteobacteria. The record is from RNAcentral.